GACGAACGCUGGCGGCGCGCCUAACACAUGCAAGUCGAACGGAGCUUAGAGAGCUUGCUUUUUAAGCUUAGUGGCGAACGGGUGAGUAACGCGUGAGUAACCUGCCCUAGAGUGGGGGACGAACAGUUGGAAACGACUGCUAAUACCGCAUAAGCCCACGGUGCCGCAUGACACUGAGGGAAAGGAUUUAUUCGCUUUAGGAUGGACUCGCGUCCAAUUAGCUAGUUGGUGAGGUAAUGGCCCACCAAGGCGACGAUCGGUAGCCGGACUGAGAGGUUGAACGGCCACAUUGGGACUGAGACACGGCCCAGACUCCUACGGGAGGCAGCAGUGGGGAAGUAUUGCACAAUGGGGGGAAACCCGUGAUGCAGCGACGCCGCGUGAGUGAAGAAGUA
RNAcentral lists this ribosomal RNA (395 nucleotides) under uncultured bacterium. RNAcentral describes it as "bacterial SSU rRNA". It matches the Rfam family "Bacterial small subunit ribosomal RNA", at positions 28 to 415 of the family's 1533-position model. The record is from RNAcentral.